GGUCUUGUAGCUCAGUUGGUUAGAGCGUGGUGCUAAUAACGCCAAGGUCGCGAGUUCGACCCUCGUCGGGACCA
Molecule: transfer RNA, 74 nt
Organism: Aspergillus clavatus NRRL 1
Lineage: Eukaryota; Fungi; Ascomycota; Eurotiomycetes; Eurotiales; Aspergillaceae
Rfam family: tRNA
About the family: Transfer RNA (tRNA) molecules are approximately 80 nucleotides in length. Their secondary structure includes four short double-helical elements and three loops (D, anti-codon, and T loops).
Source: Rfam